GACGAACCGAGCGAACGUUGUUCGGAAUCACUGGGCUUAAAGGGCGCGUAGGCGGGUGCUCAAGUCCGUGGUGAAAUCCUCCGGCUCAACCGGAGAACUGCCUCGGAUACUGGGCGUCUCGAGUGUGGUAGGGGUAUGCGGAACUAUCGGUGGAGCGGUGAAAUGCGUUGAUAUCGAUAGGAACUCCGGUGGCGAAGGCGGCAUACUGGACCAACACUGACGCUGAUGCGCGAAAGCCAGGGGAGCAAACGGG
This 253-nucleotide ribosomal RNA is filed under the name uncultured bacterium. Its description in RNAcentral is "partial 16S ribosomal RNA". It matches the Rfam family "Bacterial small subunit ribosomal RNA", at positions 524 to 776 of the family's 1533-position model. The record is from RNAcentral.